This 962-nucleotide ribosomal RNA is filed under the name Frutidella furfuracea. RNAcentral's name for it is "SSU rRNA". It matches the Rfam family "Bacterial small subunit ribosomal RNA", at positions 370 to 1249 of the family's 1533-position model. Lineage: Eukaryota; Fungi; Ascomycota; Lecanoromycetes; Lecanorales; Ramalinaceae. The record is from RNAcentral.
AAUAGCCUAACGGCUGAACCAGCAACUUGGAGGAAUGUAUAGCAAAACUCUAAUUGCACCAACAAAUAGUUAGUGCAAUAUCGACUCUGUUGAAUAAAAUUCUAGGUAGAAUUACGAUAAUGACGUUGUCUGCCUAUGUGUCUUGACCAAAUUACGUGCCAGCAGUCGCGGUAAUACGUAGAAGACUAGUGUUAUUCAUCUUUAAUAGGUUUAAAGGGUACCUAGACGGUAAAUCAAGCCUGCGAGGGGACUAAUGUACUAGAGUUACUUGUGAGGGGGUUUUAAAGUACUGCUGGUGUAGAGAUGAAAUUCUUUCAUACCUUUUUUCACAGAAAAAAUAACGGCACAGGUAUAGGCGAAAGCAUCCCCUUAUGUGAUAACUGACGUUGAAGGACGAAGGCUUUGUGUAGCGAACAGGAUUAGAUACCCCAGUAGUCGAAGCAGAAAAUGAUGAGUGUCAUAGAUUAGACAUAUCUUGGUUUAUUCUAUAAAUGAAAGUGUAAGCACUCCACCUCAAGAGUAAUUUGGCAACAUUGGAACUGAAAUCAUUAGACCGUUUCUGAAACCAGUAGUGAAGUAUGUUGUUUAAUUUGAUUGCCCGCAAAAAACCUUACCACAAUUUGAAUAUUUAUAAUAUUUCUUUUCUUUUUUAUGUUUUCAUAAUUUAUUAUUAUUAAGAUCAAGGAUAAAUGAUUAAAAUAAAAAAUAAAUGAUAUUAAUAAAAAAUAAAGGAUGAAAAUAAAGCUGAGAGAGGAAACAUGUAUUUACAAGCGUUGCACGGCUGUCUUCAGUUAAUGUCGUGAGACUUUGGUUAGUUCCAUUUAAUUAACGUAAACCCUUACUUUAUUUUUACAUAAAGUAGUUCCCCACUAGAUUGGAUAUGACAACAGGGACUAAGACAAGUCAUUUUGGCCUUAAUAUUGUGGGCUAUAGACGUGCCACAUAAACCUUACAAAAGGAUG